CUUUGGGGACGAAGCCUUCUUUAUUUAGAACAACCGUACUAGUUCACGUAAACGGUUACAUUCAGGAGAUGAAGGAAGCGAGGCUCAGAGAGAUUAAGUCACUCGUCCAAAGUCACCCUGCCGUCACUCAGCUCAGCUACCCACCAAGACAAGAAAGGCCCUCUUGCCACUUUCCCAGGUUCAAGUGUGCCUGGCCUGGAGGACAGAUGGAAUCUGAGACUUGGUGCUACUCAGCCGUGGGCAUCCAAAAAGCAAGGAGUGGCCUUGAAGUGCCUCGGCUGCACUAAGGAUGUCUCAUGAGCUGGAAGGAAAGGAGGGGGAGGUGCAGAAUUACAAAGACGCGAGGUCACAAGAAGGACAAAUGAGGACUACAGCCUAGCAGGCUUUUGCCAUUGGCCACUCCGAGAGGAGAGCUCUCCUGCCCCUCACAAAUGCAGGGGUGUGCCCUCUCUACCUGUCACCAGCUUCUGCAAAGCAAAGCACUGGGCAUUGCUAAAGCAUCACUCAUUCCCCACAUACAGCACUCAAUGGUGUAUCUGGGCCAUAAAUACUAUAUAAGCACUUUGCAAUCGGGUCCAUUUUUGUCACCAUUUCAUUCCUUUUAUACAUCAUUACUUAUUCUGACCAUUUAGAGCAAACUAUUUGAGAAAUAGGAGCACAGCCCAGGCCGGGCAAUAACCCCUCUUGUGUUG
This 692-nucleotide long non-coding RNA is filed under the name Equus asinus (donkey). Its description in RNAcentral is "lncRNA (ENSEASG00005030703.1)". Lineage: Eukaryota; Metazoa; Chordata; Mammalia; Perissodactyla; Equidae. The record is from RNAcentral.